This 460-nucleotide ribosomal RNA is filed under the name uncultured bacterium. RNAcentral describes it as "partial 16S ribosomal RNA". It matches the Rfam family "Bacterial small subunit ribosomal RNA", at positions 338 to 795 of the family's 1533-position model. The record is from RNAcentral.
CCUACGGGAGGCAGCAGUGGGGAAUAUUGGUCAAUGGGCGCGAGCCUGAACCAGCCAAGUAGCGUGAAGGAUGACUGCCCUACGGGCUGUAAACUUCUUUUAUAAAGGAAUAAAGUGAGGCAAGUGUGCCUUUUUGUAUUUACUUUCUUAAUUUGGAUCGUCUAACUACGUUCCAUCACCCGCGGUAAUAUGGAGGAUCCGUGCGUUCUCCGGAUUUAUUGUGUUUAAAGGGAGCGUAGAGGGGUUGUUAAGUCAGUUGUGAAAGUUUGCGGCUCAACCGUAAAAUUGCAAUUGAUACUGGCAGCCUUGAGUACAGUUGAGGUAGGCGGAAUUCGUGGUGUAGCGGUGAAAUGCUUAGAGAUCACGAAGAACUCCGAUUGCGAAGGCAGCUUACUAAACUGCCACUGACAUUGAUGCUCGAAAGUGUGGGUAUCAAACAGGAUUAGAUACCCGGGUAGUC